RNAcentral lists this unclassified non-coding RNA (866 nucleotides) under Hevea brasiliensis (rubber tree). Lineage: Eukaryota; Viridiplantae; Streptophyta; Magnoliopsida; Malpighiales; Euphorbiaceae. The record is from RNAcentral.
GAGAAGCUUCAAGAUCCUACCCUCGACAUUCACAAGGAAGGGAAAUACCUCUUGCUUGCUGUUCAAGAACUGGUUUCAGGAGAUCAAUGUGAAGGAAGGUUCGUCUUUGGACGUGAAAGCAAGAAGCCUAAGGAGUCAAGGGAAAACAGUAGAUUUACGAAAGAUGGAACAAAUCCUAAAAGCUUGCUACAAACUCUUUUGAUGAGAGCUGGGCACUCCCCUCCAAAAUACAAAACAAAACACCUCAAGACAAAUGAGUUUAGGGCACUGGUUGAAUUCAAGGGAAUGCAAUUUGUGGGCAAACCAAAGAAAAACAAACAACUGGCAGAGAGGGAUGCUGCUAUAGAAGCACUGGCCUGGUUGACUCACACCUCUGAGAACAAUCAAGAUGAGCACGACAAUUCCCCACCCGAUGUCACAGACAACAUGUUAAAACUUCUGGGGAAACGCCGGAGAUCAAAGCGUGGCUCUGGUUGACGAUUAGUUAUGCUGUGCACUACUUUCUCGAUGGCUACAUGGCAACCGAUAAGAAAAUACAUAAUUCUUGAGACAGAUUUCUGCCAUUUGGUGUUAAAAUUUCACUGUUUGUGCACUACAGGCCAGCGAUAUUGGUUAUAGGGUAAGCAUUCUCAUUAGAUUACUAAGUUAUUCAUAGAUGCUAUGGUUUUCUGCCAAGGCAUCAGUGAUACAGGGCCAGUGCAAGAAGAAUACAUCAGGAAAGAGAAAAAUUUUUGUUUACUUAUUCCCAUUGGGUUCAAACUCCGAACCUCACUGCUAUAGAUAUUACUCCAGUAAAGGCUGUAAAAUUUUAAGGAUAUUAGCAAGUUUUGAUAUUGAGAGGCAGUUGAUAGCAAAAUUUGAAUGAA